GCCUGUUAGCAACUUGGGUAAUUGCCAAUGGGAAAAUGCAUUGAAAACAAAAAAAGUAGCUAAUAUAGUAGUAGGCAACUUUGGUUUCGAGAAAUGCACCCCUGAGGUGUAUUAAGCACUUGUGUAUCUACUGUAAUUGGAUACAGAGGAAUAGCUGGAGUAUAAACUGUUGAAAUAUAAUGUACUAGUGUUAUAAUAACGUCAGCUAGAGUACUUCUAAUUCCAGUUGAUGCUCCUAUAAAUAACAGUUGCCAAUUAUCUAAGCUACUUGGUCGGUUGCAAUGUAAGUACUACUUCAUUAAGGUUACCAACUGGCUAGUAACUACGGUGUUGGGAACUUCAGAAUCUUCUGAUAUCUCCGAUCACUACGAAAACCCAAAGUAUUUAUUGAAAGGUAAGAAAACAAAAGAUGUCCGUAACAGGUUUCCUUUUCAUCGACGUGCAUGUGGUUGGAUACCAGGAGUGCAACUUAAUAUGGGACCUUGCCUCCUCCACUCGCUUCUCGUCAUGAUGACAUCACUGACAACAGCAUUAUAUUUCAAUAUCUUGCAAAAGCUCAAUUGUAGUCUUUUCCUCGUUUGCAAGUGUUAUGGUGAAUGAAAAACAGUCCCUCAAAAGUUGUUGUGGCUAGGCUGACAGCUGGGAAACUUUAUCGUUUUCUCCACGGAGGAGGGGCCAGGAGGCGGAGCGAGGAGACAAGCGCAAGUGGAGGAGGCAAGGCCGCAUAUUAAAUUAAGUGCAUGUGGUUGUAUACCGGAUGUCCAUGAAGAGAUUUGAACACGAGCGCCCUCUGCUGGAUUUGAAGCCACAUGCGAGUGUGCUGUCUGGCUGGACAGGCGGCAGGGGCGGUUCUAAGGGGUGGCAUUUGCCCCCCCAGAAAUAUGAUUUGCCACCCCAAUUAAGAGCCCUGAUUGUGACCAAUAGCCUUAAUGCUUGACAUAAUUUCAGACAUAGAACUUUAGGUUGCAGGGUUUCACUUUACGGGAUUCACUGUAUCACACAAGUGUGUGUGUCGAUUAUAUAGCGUUUAUAAUUGUCCCUUAGUGUAGGAGCAUGCCCCCCUGAAAUACACUUCGCCACCCCAAGAAUGAAUAUCUGGAACCGCCCCUGCCAGGCGGGUGUGCUGGCUGCGAUGUCCUUUGGCUGGGUGUGCUGUCUGGCUGGACAGGCGAGGGGUGCCCUGGCCGCGACGUCCUUUGGCUGGGUAUUACCAAACCAUGAAGCUGUACCAUAGAUGGAUCAUGAAGAUUUUAGAUUAAGAUCAUAUAAUGCCUUAUAUGACGAUUUCUCGUGUGUGCAACUGAGGCUGAACGAUAAUUAUGGACAUUCCUACCAACUUCUUUAUAACAAAAUAUAUUAAUCUGAAGGGGCAAAUAGACAUGUUAUUAGAACAUGCUAAAAUUUGUUUUAGAUGCUUGACACAAUUUUUAAGUUCAACAAUUUUUUAAGUUUCACAAUUCAAUUUUUAAGUCAUACCAAAUGAAGCAUGGCUCUCUAAAUAUGUGGGCAUCAAGAAUGGGCAUUUAAGCAUUAUCCGGAACUGGCAUGUGUCUUAUGUUGACCAAGAUUAACAGACUGUAUUAUAGUAAUUUAUUUCAAUUCAUGUGUACCUGCAUAGCUAAAUAAAACCAUUGAUACAACUUGAAUGUGUGAGAGUGCUUCUAUUAACAGGUGAAUACAGUAGUCUCCAAGUCUUCCACUUUCUUAACGUCUGCUUUCAAAGCAACGGCUUUCAUAGAUUCACCUUUUGCCGUUAAUAAUUCUAGAAAUUAAUAAUCUCAUUUUAUAGCUUCACCAGCCUAAUCAGAGAGAAUCAGACAGCCAGCAGUGGGAAUUUUAAGUAAAAUGUCUUUUCAUCGUGAUUUCAGUGUGCACUUGCACGUGGUGAAGUUGUAAAGAGACACUGUGCAGGAAAUGGUCAAAAAAGGUACUGCAACUAUGCUGCUCAUUGAAACUGUGCUGCCAAUUGCCAAAUUUGAGCUUUACAUGAAAGUUUUCUAAGUAAUAAACAAAUAUUUUCUAGUAUGGUCCAAGUACAGUCAUUUUUGCAGCUAAGUGCCAUUUUUCCAGUCAUAAUGAAUACUUAAAAUUUGAUGCUGGUGGUAAGUAUUUAUGAAAAAGGUAACAUUAGUGAAUGGGCAGCAUGAAUUCUGUAAAUAAACAACUAAAAAUCUCACACAGUGUCCCUUUAAAGAGAGACAGAACGAGGCCGAGACAGAUGAGUUGAACAGAGGAGAGAGAGGAAGAGCGUAAAGGGACAGAGUUAGAGUUUAUUGUUUCGCAUGCCACAGAAGAAGAAGAACGCAGUGGGUUCAGAGGUCAGAGGUCAGGGGUCAGGAGAACAACACAAGUACUACACACACAGGACACACUGACAGGGAAAUCCACUUGGUAGAAAAUGAACUUAGUUUAAUCAUCGAACCACUUCCAAACUAGACUGAAAUUUUACAUUUUACUAAAGAUGUAAAAACUCCAAACAAAAUAAGAAAAUAUACAGAAGCUCAGAUCACCCCCCCCCACCCCUAGAAGCUCAGAUCGCACAAUCAAAAGAGGGGGUUUAGGGGUUUCACUUGGUGACGGAGCGGAGAAGAAAGCUGCACAAGCCGUAACCGGCCUUCCCCUCCCUCCGUAUAAAGGGCGUGGAGCACACAGGAAAUGGGAAAUGGGGCGUUGGGGAUUUGAAAUGGGGAGUUGGGGAUUUGAAAUGGGGAGUUGGGGAUUUGGGGAGUUGGAUUACAGGUUCAGGAGGGAAAAAAGUCCGUAGUUGGAAAAUGUGGAGCGAGGGUUGUUGAGGAGAGACAUGUUUGCCGCUGCAGAGUAAGGUAAGACUAAAGAGGGUUGUUGAGACAUGUUUGCCGCUGCAGAGUAAGGUAAGACUAAAGAGGGUUGUUGAGACAUGUUUGCCGCUGCAGAGUAAGGUAAGACUAAAGGCACGUUGACGCUGGUCCCUACAGUCCUCUUCCCCUGGUGCACGCUAGACCCUCCGCUGGUCACCACGGGGUCAUCCCUAUGGUUACCACGGGGUCAUCCCUAUGGUUACCACGGGGUCAUCCCUAUGGUUACCAUGGGGUCAUCCCUAUGGUUACCACGGGGUCAUCCCUAUGCUCCCCUGGUGCACGCUAGACCCUCCGCUGGUCACCAUGGGGUCAUCCCUAUGGUUACCACGGGGUCAUCCCUAUGGUUACCACGGGGUCAUCCCUAUGGUCACCACGGGGUCAUCCCUAUGGUUACCACGGGGUCAUCCCUAUGUUUCCCGGGUCCUAUGUUCCCCUCUACAAGUAGAGUGGGAGGGGGAGGGGCUUAGCCAACAACCCAAGUAGAGUGGGAGGGGCUUCAAACAACCUAUUCAGCGCCACCUUAUUUUUUUGUAUCUAAAAACAGAAAUCACGCAAACAGCGCGACACAUAAGCCAAACCCAUACAAAGAAAAAAAAAGAAAAAAAAACCCCCCAAAAACCCAACUAGAUCCAGCUUUCGAAGAAUUUUUUAAAACUAUGAAACCCUUUUAAUUAAAUUAAAAAGUGGGUGUUGUUUAACUUCAUCUCCUUUUAGAGUAAAGGCCAACCAAAACUAAAAUCAGCCCCCCUGUCCUGUCAGGGCUUCCGUGGGACCUCCAAUAAUAAUCCCCGUUUGCCGUCUCUAUCUCAUCUGCUGCACCUGCUAACAGGCUGGGGAGGAGGUGGGUUCACUGCCCCUGGGUUGGGGACAGGGCGGCCAUAGGCCAAACCCAAUGGUUGGGUUAAGGGACAGUCACAUAACCCCAUAGUUGGGUUGGGGAUAGUAUCAUAACCCCAUAGUUGGGUUGGGUAGGGAGCAGUAGCAUGGUGGUGGGAGAACAGAUUGCGUGGCUUACACCACCGCAGCGCGUCUCACAUCACAUGACUUAUCACAUGACUUAUCACAUGACUUAUCACACGACCAAUCGUCUUCACAACACGAGCAGGAAGCAAAAACGAUGACGCUAUUUUGCUGGGUAUUAAAGGCACUUUAGUCAAUCCAUUCUUACUUAGUGAAACGAAGCAAAGGGGGAAAACCCACUAAUAUCCAGGGACCACUGUUGUCGUCUCCACAGCCAAACACAGAGAGGAGAGGAGGGAGAGAUAGAGAGAGAUACGACCACAAAAAUAAAUCACAGGAAAGGGCUUUUUUCUGUUUCUUUUUUUUUUAAACAGCUGGGAGAUGAGCAUGGCAGCGAGAGGGGACAUGAAACAGGAGCGAUGUCUGCAGUAUCGAGACUCAGGAGCGAUGUCUGCAGUAUCGAGACUCAGGAGCGAUGUCUGCAGUAUCGAGACUCAGGAGCGAUGUCUGCAGUAUCGAGACUCAGGAGCGAUGUCUGCAGUAUCGAGACUCAGGAGCGAUGUCUGCAGUAUCGAGACUCAGGAGCGAUGUCUGCAGUAUCGAGACUCAGGAGUGAUGUCUGCAGUAUCGAGACUCAGGAGCGAUGUCUGCAGUAUCGAGACUCAGGUGCAGAAAAGGGGAAAAAAGAAA
Long non-coding RNA from Engraulis encrasicolus (European anchovy), 4487 nucleotides. RefSeq lists it as uncharacterized. The record is from RefSeq and is a predicted model, not a curated record. The transcript is spliced from 2 exons. Lineage: Eukaryota; Metazoa; Chordata; Actinopteri; Clupeiformes; Engraulidae.